Molecule: ribosomal RNA, 445 nt
Filed under: uncultured bacterium
Lineage: Bacteria
Description: bacterial SSU rRNA
Rfam family: Bacterial small subunit ribosomal RNA
Source: RNAcentral
AGCGAACGCUGGUGGCAGGCUUAACACAUGCAAGUCGAGCGGGCGUAGCAAUACGUCAGCGGCAGACGGGUGAGUAACGCGUGGGAACGUACCUUUUGGUUCGGAACAACACAGGGAAACUUGUGCUAAUACCGGGAUAAGCCCUUACGGGGAAAGAUUUAUCGCCGAAAGAUCGGCCCGCGUCUGAUUAGCUAGUUGGUAGGGUAAUGGCCUACCAAGGCGACGAUCAGUAGCUGGUCUGAGAGGAUGAUCAGCCACAUUGGGACUGAGACACGGCCCAAACUCCUACGGGAGGCAGCAGUGGGGAAUAUUGGACAAUGGGGGCAACCCUGAUCCAGCCAUGCCGCGUGAGUGAUGAAGGCCCUAGGGUUGUAAAGCUCUUUUGUGCGGGAAGAUAAUGACGGUACCGCAAGAAUAAGACCCCGGCUAACCUUCGUGCCAGCAG